Long non-coding RNA from Thalassophryne amazonica, 116 nucleotides. RefSeq lists it as uncharacterized. The transcript has 3 exons. The record is from RefSeq and is a predicted model, not a curated record. NCBI's taxonomy places the organism in Eukaryota, Metazoa, Chordata, Actinopteri, Batrachoidiformes, Batrachoididae.
GCCGGGCUCCAAGCCAGCGAGCCGGGCUUCUUACCCAUUUAAAGUUUGAGAAUAGGUUGAGAUCGUUUCGGCCACAAGGCCUCUAGUCAUUUGAUUACCAAAGAAAACUGCGCAUU